Molecule: signal recognition particle RNA, 81 nt
Filed under: Paracoccaceae bacterium
Lineage: Bacteria; Pseudomonadati; Pseudomonadota; Alphaproteobacteria; Rhodobacterales; Paracoccaceae
Description: Rhodobacteraceae bacterium partial signal recognition particle sRNA small type
Rfam family: Bacterial small signal recognition particle RNA
About the family: The signal recognition particle (SRP) is a universally conserved ribonucleoprotein involved in the co-translational targeting of proteins to membranes. Archaeal SRP consists of a 7S RNA and homologues of the eukaryotic SRP19 and SRP54 proteins.
Source: RNAcentral
GAGAGGUUGGCGCGGGCAGGCGCCUCGCCAACCCGGUCAGAUCCGGAAGGAAGCAGCCGUAACGAGCCCCGCUUGGGUCGU